Molecule: ribosomal RNA, 379 nt
Filed under: Physa skinneri
Lineage: Eukaryota; Metazoa; Mollusca; Gastropoda; Physidae
Description: partial 16S ribosomal RNA
Source: RNAcentral
UCGGUGGUUUCUGCCCAGUGUAAUAUUAACGGCCGCAGUACCUUGACUGUGCUAAGGUAGCAUAAUCAAUUGGCUAUUAAUUGUAGUCUGGAAUGAAAGGGAGAAUGAAUAGAGACUAUAACAAAUAAUUUUAUUUUAAUUUAUUUAUUAGGUGAAAAUACCUAUGUUGAGAAAAAAGACGAGAAGACCCUUAGAGUUUUAAAGAGAGAAAUAUAUUAUUUCUUAUUUUUUGUUGGGGCGACAAGAAAACAUUGAAACUUUUCUAAUAAUUAAAAAUAUAUGACGAAUUUUUUAUGCAUAAAUAAACUACCUUAGGGAUAACAGCAUAAUGAUAAAUAUUAGUUUGUGACCUCGAUGUUGGACUAGGAACUUUAACACU